RNAcentral lists this ribosomal RNA (190 nucleotides) under uncultured Staphylococcus sp. Its description in RNAcentral is "partial 16S ribosomal RNA". It matches the Rfam family "Bacterial small subunit ribosomal RNA", at positions 150 to 334 of the family's 1533-position model. The record is from RNAcentral. Lineage: Bacteria; Bacillati; Bacillota; Bacilli; Caryophanales; Staphylococcaceae.
CGGGAAACCGGAGCUAAUACCGGAUAAUAUAUUGAACCGCAUGGUUCAAUAGUGAAAGACGGUUUUGCUGUCACUUAUAGAUGGAUCCGCGCCGCAUUAGCUAGUUGGUAAGGUGACGGCUUACCAAGGCAACGAUGCGUAGCCGACCUGAGAGGGUGAUCGGCCACACUGGAACUGAGACACGGUCCAG